AGAAGGCAUCUUCUUGUUAUUAAAGAAUUUCGAUAAUCGAUGGGGAUGCGUUCCAUUAGUUUGUUGGCGGGGUAACGGCCCACCAAGACAUCGAUGGAUAGGGGUUCUGAGAGGAAGGUCCCCCACAUUGGAACUGAGACACGGUCCAAACUCCUACGGGAGGCAGCAGUGAGGAAUAUUGGUCAAUGGACGAGAGUCUGAACCAGCCAAGUAGCGUGAAGGAUGACUGCCCUAUGGGUUGUAAACUUCUUUUAUAUGGGAAUAAAGUGAGCCACGUGUGGCUUUUUGUAUGUACCAUACGAAUAAGGAUCGGCUAACUCCGUGCCAGCAGCCGCGGUAAUACGGAGGAUCCGAGCGUUAUCCGGAUUUAUUGGGUUUAAAGGGAGCGUAGGCGGAUUAUUAAGUCAGUUGUGAAAGUUUGCGGCUCAACCGUAAAAUUGCAGUUGAUACUGGUAGUCUUGAGUGCAGCAGAGGUAGGCGGAAUUCGUGGUGUAGCGGUGAAAUGCUUAGAUAUCACGAAGAACUCCGAUUGCGAAGGCAGCUUACUGGACUGUAACUGACGCUGAUGCUCGAAAGUGUGGGUAUCAAACAGGAUUAGAUACCCUGGUAGUCCACACAGUAAACGAUGAAUACUCGCUGUUUGCGAUAUACAGCAAGCGGCCAAGCGAAAGCAUUAAGUAUUCCACCUGGGGAGUACGCCGGCAACGGUGAAACUCAAAGGAAUUGACGGGGGUCCGCACAAGCGGAGGAACAUGUGGUUUAAUUCGAUGAUACGCGAGGAACCUUACCCGGGCUUAAAUUGCAACUGACGGAUUUGGAAACAGAUCUUCCUUCGGGCAGUUGUGAAGGUGCUGCAUGGUUGUCGUCAGCUCGUGCCGUGAGGUGUCGGCUUAAGUGCCAUAACGAGCGCAACCCUUAUCUUUAGUUACUAACAGGUCAUGCUGAGGACUCUAGAGAGACUGCCGUCGUAAGAUGUGAGGAAGGUGGGGAUGACGUCAAAUCAGCACGGCCCUUACGUCCGGGGCUACACACGUGUUACAAUGGGGGGUACAGAAGGCAGCUACACAGCGAUGUGAUGCUAAUCCCAAAAGCCUCUCUCAGUUCGGAUUGGAGUCUGCAACCCGACUCCAUGAAGCUGGAUUCGCUAGUAAUCGCGCAUCAGCCACGGCGCGGUGAAUACGUUCCCGGGCCUUGUACACACCGCCCGUCAAGCCAUGAAAGCCGGGGGUACCUGAAGUACGUAACCGCAAGGAGCGUCCUAGGGUAAAACUGGUAAUUGGGGCUAAGUCGUAACAAGGUA
RNAcentral lists this ribosomal RNA (1300 nucleotides) under metagenome. RNAcentral describes it as "bacterial SSU rRNA". It matches the Rfam family "Bacterial small subunit ribosomal RNA", at positions 183 to 1498 of the family's 1533-position model. The record is from RNAcentral.